Molecule: ribosomal RNA, 208 nt
Filed under: uncultured bacterium
Lineage: Bacteria
Description: partial 16S ribosomal RNA
Rfam family: Bacterial small subunit ribosomal RNA
Source: RNAcentral
CGCGUAGGCGGCCAACUAAGUCUGGAGUGAAAGUCCUGCUUUUAAGGUGGGAAUUGCUUUGGAAACUGGAUGGCUUGAGUGCAGGAGAGGUAAGCGGAAUUCCCGGUGUAGCGGUGAAAUGCGUAGAGAUCGGGAGGAACACCAGUGGCGAAGGCGGCUUACUGGACUGUAACUGACGCUGAGGCGCGAAAGUGUGGGGAAGCAAACA